This 482-nucleotide ribosomal RNA is filed under the name uncultured bacterium. RNAcentral's name for it is "partial 16S ribosomal RNA". It matches the Rfam family "Bacterial small subunit ribosomal RNA", at positions 28 to 507 of the family's 1533-position model. The record is from RNAcentral.
GACGAACGCUGGCGGCGUGCUUAACACAUGCAAGUCGAACGCUGAAGCUCAGCUUUUGUUGGGUGGAUGAGUGGCGAACGGGUGAGUAACACGUGAGUAACCUGCCCCCUUCUUUGGGAUAACGCCCGGAAACGGGUGCUAAUACUGGAUAUUCACUGGUCUUCGCAUGGGGGUUGGUGGAAAGGGUUUUUCUGGUGGGGAUGGGCUCGCGGCCUAUCAGCUUGUUGGUGGGGUGAUGGCCUACCAAGGCUUUGACGGGUAGCCGGCCUGAGAGGGUGACCGGUCACAUUGGGACUGAGAUACGGCCCAGACUCCUACGGGAGGCAGCAGUGGGGAAUAUUGCACAAUGGGCGCAAGCCUGAUGCAGCGACGCCGCGUGAGGGGUGGAGGCCUUCGGGUUGUGAACCUCUUUCGCUCAUGGUCAAGCCGCAACAAUGGUUGUGGUGAGGGUAGUGGGUAAAGAAGCGCCGGCUAACUACGUG